AUUGAACGCUGGCGGAAUGCUUUACACAUGCAAGUCGAACGGCAGCACGGGGCAACCUGGUGGCGAGUGGCGAACGGGUGAGUAAUACAUCGGAACGUGCCCAAUCGUGGGGAUAACGUAGCGAAAGUUACGCUAAUACCGCAUACGAUCUACGGAUGAAAGCGGGGGAUCGCAAGACCUCGCGCGAAUGGAGCGGCCGAUGUCAGAUUAGGUAGUUGGUGGGGUAAAGGCUCACCAAGCCAACGAUCUGUAGCUGGUCUGAGAGGACGACCAGCCACACUGGAACUGAGACACGGUCCAGACUCCUACGGGAGGCAGCAGUGGGGAAUUUUGGACAAUGGGCGCAAGCCUGAUCCAGCAAUGCCGCGUGCAGGAUGAAGGCCUUCGGGUUGUAAACUGCUUUUGUACGGAACGAAAAGCUUCGGGCUAAUACCCUGAAGUCAUGACGGUACCGUAAGAAUAAGCACCGGCUAACUACGUG
This 481-nucleotide ribosomal RNA is filed under the name uncultured bacterium. RNAcentral describes it as "bacterial SSU rRNA". It matches the Rfam family "Bacterial small subunit ribosomal RNA", at positions 30 to 507 of the family's 1533-position model. The record is from RNAcentral.